AUCAGUGGCGAACGGGUGAGUAACACGUGAGCAAUCUGCCCCUGACUCUGGGAUAACAGCUGGAAACAGCUGCUAAUACCGGAUACGAGUUGCGAAGGCAUCUUCAGCAGCUGGAAAGAAUUUCGGUCAGGNANNNNNUCGCGGCCUAUCAGCUUGUUGGUGAGGUAAUGGCUCACCAAGGCGUCGACGGGUAGCCGGCCUGAGAGGGUGACCGGCCACACUGGGACUGAGACGCGGCCCAGACUCCUACGGGAGGCAGCAGUGGGGAAUAUUGCACAAUGGGCGAAAGCCUGAUGCAGCAACGCCGCGUGAGGGACGACGGCCUUCGGGUUGUAAACCUCUUUUAGCAAGGAAGAAGCGAAAGUGACGGUACUUGCAGAAAAAGCGCCGGCUAACUACGUGCCAGCAGCCGCGGUAAUACGUAGGGCGCAAGCGUUAUCCGGAAUUAUUGGGCGUAAAGAGCUCGUAGGCGGUUUGUCGCGUCUGCUGUGAAAACCCGAGGCUCAACCUCGGGCCUGCAGUGGGUACGGGCAGACUAGAGUGCGGUAGGGGAGAUUGGAACUCCUGGUGUAGCGGUGGAAUGCGCAGAUAUCAGGAAGAACACCGAUGGCGAAGGCAGAUCUCUGGGCCGUAACUGACGCUGAGGAGCGAAAGGGUGGGGAGCAAACAGGCUUAGAUACCCUGGUAGUCCACCCCGUAAACGUUGGGAACUAGUUGUGGGGUCCAUUCCACGGAUUCCGUGACGCAGCUAACGCAUUAAGUUCCCCGCCUGGGGAGUACGGCCGCAAGGCUAAAACUCAAAGGAAUUGACGGGGACCCGCACAAGCGGC
This 830-nucleotide ribosomal RNA is filed under the name uncultured bacterium. Its description in RNAcentral is "bacterial SSU rRNA". It matches the Rfam family "Bacterial small subunit ribosomal RNA", at positions 91 to 933 of the family's 1533-position model. The record is from RNAcentral.